UACGUAGGGCGCAAGCGUUGUCCGGAAUUAUUGGGCGUAAAGAGCUCGUAGGCGGUCUUUCGCGUCUGCUGUGAAAAUCCAGGGCUCAACCCUGGACCUGCAGUGGGUACGGGCAGACUAGAGUGCGGUAGGGGAGAUCGGAAUUCCUGGUGUAGCGGUGAAAUGCGCAGAUAUCGGGAGGAACACCGAUGGCGAAGGCAGCACUCUGGGCCGGUACUGACGCUGAGGAGCGAAAGCGUGGGGAGCAAACAGG
This 253-nucleotide ribosomal RNA is filed under the name uncultured bacterium. RNAcentral describes it as "partial 16S ribosomal RNA". It matches the Rfam family "Bacterial small subunit ribosomal RNA", at positions 524 to 776 of the family's 1533-position model. The record is from RNAcentral.